This 465-nucleotide ribosomal RNA is filed under the name uncultured bacterium. Its description in RNAcentral is "partial 16S ribosomal RNA". It matches the Rfam family "Bacterial small subunit ribosomal RNA", at positions 28 to 507 of the family's 1533-position model. The record is from RNAcentral.
GAUGAACGCUGGCGGCGUGCUUAACACAUGCAAGUCGAACGGAAAGGCUCCUGCUUGCCGGGGUUCUCGAGUGGCGAACGGGUGAGUAACACGUGGGUGAUCUGCCCUGCACUUCGGGAUAAGCCUGGGAAACUGGGUCUAAUACCGGAUAGGACGAUGGUUUGGAUGCCAUUGUGGAAAGUUUUUCGGUGUGGGAUGAGCUCGCGGCCUAUCAGCUUGUUGGUGGGGUAAUGGCCUACCAAGGCGUAGACGGGUAGCCGGCCUGAGAGGGGGGACGGCCACAUUGGGACUGAGAGACGGCCCAGACGCCUACGGGAGGCAGCAGUGGGGAAUAUUGCACAAUGGGCGCAAGCCUGAUGCAGCGACGCCGCGUGGGGGAUGACGGCCUUCGGGUUGUAAACUCCUUUCGCUAGGGACGAAGCGCAAGUGACGGUACCUGGAGAAGAAGCACCGGCUAACUACGUG